Long non-coding RNA from Homo sapiens (human), 949 nucleotides. RefSeq lists it as uncharacterized. The record is from RefSeq and is a predicted model, not a curated record. The transcript is spliced from 3 exons. NCBI's taxonomy places the organism in Eukaryota, Metazoa, Chordata, Mammalia, Primates, Hominidae.
CUCUCUCCCUUCCCUUCCAUGAGACCCUCCCCAACCCAUCUCUGCAUCUCCCAGCUCCUCCCACUCCUGCUCCUCCCUCGCCCUGCCCCCCUCCACCUAUCCCAACUCCACUCAUCCGCAGCCCAAACACUGAUCUGUUUUAGUUUGCAUUUUCUAGAGUCGUCCAUAAAUGGAAUCAUCCCAUAUGUACUUGAUUUUGUCUGGCUUCUUUCACUCAACAUAGUUACUUUGACAUGCCUGCGUGUUUUUGCAUGGAACAAUCAUUCAUUGCUUCCUGAGCAGUAUUCCAUUUAUGGAUAUACCACCGUGUGUUUAGUCAGCACUUGAUUUAGCCUGCUUUCAAUUUUUCCUGAUUAGAACUACAGCUGCUAGGAACAUCCCUGUGCAAAUCUUUGUACAGACAUAUACGGUUUUUCCUCUCUGGGGUAAAUACCUGGAAGUGGAAUGCCCAGGUCGUAAGCCUAACCUGAACUUAAGCCGGCAGAUGAGGAUAAGGCUCCCCAGCCUCCCGGAACAAGCAGACAGUUAUUAAUGGAAAUGUUCCACCAGUUCAGGGAGUUUUUGGAAAACUAAAGGAGUUCGCAGGGUCAUACAUCAUCUUUUUCUUUCAUCUUGAAAACUAAGAAACGAAGAAAAAUUGGAUCAUGGAAAUACAGGAAUUUACAUCAGGUAUAUCCGAACAGUCAGCCUUUCUGCUUUGAUUUUGUUUCUUUCUUUCUCCUCUACAAAGGCAUAUUUUGACUUGGUUCAUUUAUAUCUCUACCUUCUGCUCUUUUCUUUGCUCUUGAUGGAGACAGUAAAGGGAAAUGCAUAAAAAACUAGGUGUUUAAAAAACCAAAGAUUCUAGUACACAGUGGAAUAUAGCUUUUACUAAAUUGAACAUAAAUGCCAGCACAGAAAGAUGAGUCGUGCAGGCACAGCUGGCACAACCUGCAUUAUAUGUACAUAU